GCCGGCUCAAAUUCAACAGAAUCUGAUGAAAUCGUGUCGAAACGCGCUGAUUCUGCCUUCGUGCGAAGCAGCCCACCACGGCUAGGUCUUCUCUAGCGUGCAUUCUCUCUCUUUGGCUCUAGUUUCACACACAAAUGACUUCGUCUGGCCUCUCUCCAGCCGCCCUCACGCAGAUCCAAUUAGAAAUAGCACACAGCCGACAUUGCUGCACCGGCAAAUUACGCAAUUCGUCUUUUUCCUUCGGACGAGGCUGGCGCAUGCACCGAUCUGUUUUUGCUAGUACAGCUCGUCUUCCUCUGUCUCGACUCAUGAAUUUGGUCGCGCCGGAGAUGCAUCAUCUUCUGGGAGGCUGUCGCUGCCGUUGCCUCUAUUUUCAGAUGGUGAUCGAGAUGGAAGGAAAAAUACCAAAUCUGUUUUUCUUUGGCUCUCUCUUUCUCAUAUUUGGC
RNAcentral lists this long non-coding RNA (446 nucleotides) under Carica papaya (papaya). Its description in RNAcentral is "long non-coding RNA (CPAP_LNC013956)". The record is from RNAcentral. Lineage: Eukaryota; Viridiplantae; Streptophyta; Magnoliopsida; Brassicales; Caricaceae.